Long non-coding RNA from Homalodisca vitripennis (glassy-winged sharpshooter), 300 nucleotides. RefSeq lists it as uncharacterized. The transcript is spliced from 3 exons. Lineage: Eukaryota; Metazoa; Arthropoda; Insecta; Hemiptera; Cicadellidae. The record is from RefSeq and is a predicted model, not a curated record.
CCUGUUUGCUGCCUACGCCAUUCUUGAGUGUGCAAGUGAUACUGAUGGACUUGACCUCACUCCCUAAAUUUUCCACAGACCACACAAACACUCCGCCAGGCACACAUGAAUCCUUCAACAGACAAACACCUUGGAAGCUUCCAAUAAAUGUCGACUAUAAGUGCAUCACAGCACUCCUAAAGACGGUGAACCCUCGUUACGUGUAGAAACUUCCUAUGAAGAAUGGAUAACACUACCUACAGGUAUGUAUCCCAAGACAGUGACAAUGAUGAUGACAGGUUAGCCAGAAUUGUGCCUCUG